This 420-nucleotide ribosomal RNA is filed under the name Campylaspis sulcata. RNAcentral describes it as "partial 16S ribosomal RNA". It matches the Rfam family "Archaeal large subunit ribosomal RNA", at positions 2038 to 2677 of the family's 2987-position model. The record is from RNAcentral. Lineage: Eukaryota; Metazoa; Arthropoda; Malacostraca; Cumacea; Nannastacidae.
AUAAUAAUUUGUUUUUUAAUUGAAAGCUUGAAUGAAGGGUUGAACGAGAGGUGGCUAUUUUUAAUAUUUAAGUGAAAUUGAAAGCAAGUAAAAAAUCUUGGUUAUUUUGCUCAGGGACGACAAGACCCUGUAAAGUUUAAAUUUUUAUUUUUUGGAAGGGAGGAAGGUGUCACAGGUAAGAUUUUAGCUGGGACGGCUUGUCUAUGAGAGUAGCUAGAUUAUGUAGAACAUUUUUAAAGUGAGCUAAGGAGGCCCUCAAGGAGGGAAAGAAAUAACUACUUCGGGGGUAACAGCAUUAUUCUUUUGAAAGUUCAUAUUGAAGAAAGAGUUUAUGACCUCGAUGUUGAAUUAAGAACUGGGAGACGUGCAGAAGAUCAACCCGUAGGGUCUGUUCGACCUGUGGUUUCUUACAUGAUCUGA